RNAcentral lists this ribosomal RNA (701 nucleotides) under uncultured Paracoccaceae bacterium. RNAcentral's name for it is "bacterial SSU rRNA". It matches the Rfam family "Bacterial small subunit ribosomal RNA", at positions 10 to 757 of the family's 1533-position model. Lineage: Bacteria; Pseudomonadati; Pseudomonadota; Alphaproteobacteria; Rhodobacterales; Paracoccaceae. The record is from RNAcentral.
AGUUUGAUCCUGGCUCAGAACGAACGCUGGCGGCAGGCCUAAUACAUGCAAGUCGAGCGCAUCCUUCGGGAUGAGCGGCGGACGGGUGAGUAACGCGUGGGAAUAUGCCCUUCUCUAAGGAAUAGCCUCGGGAAACUGAGAGUAAUACCUUAUACGCCCUUCGGGGGAAAGAUUUAUCGGAGAAGGAUUAGCCCGCGUUAGAUUAGGUAGUUGGUGGGGUAAUGGCCUACCAAGCCUACGAUCUAUAGCUGGUUUGAGAGGAUGAUCAGCCACACUGGGACUGAGACACGGCCCAGACUCCUACGGGAGGCAGCAGUAGGGAAUCUUAGACAAUGGGGGAAACCCUGAUCUAGCCAUGCCGCGUGUGUGAUGAAGGCCUUAGGGUCGUAAAGCACUUUCGCCAGAGAUGAUAAUGACAGUAUCUGGUAAAGAAACCCCGGCUAACUCCGUGCCAGCAGCCGCGGUAAUACGGAGGGGGUUAGCGUUGUUCGGAAUUACUGGGCGUAAAGCGCACGUAGGCGGAUUAGUAAGUUAGAGGUGAAAUCCCAGGGCUCAACCCUGGAACUGCCUUUAAUACUGCUAGUCUUGAGUUCGAGAGAGGUAAGUGGAAUUCCAAGUGUAGAGGUGAAAUUCGUAGAUAUUUGGAGGAACACCAGUGGCGAAGGCGGCUUACUGGCUCGAUACUGACGCUGAGGUGCGAA